Long non-coding RNA from Aphis gossypii (cotton aphid), 549 nucleotides. RefSeq lists it as uncharacterized. The transcript is spliced from 7 exons. Lineage: Eukaryota; Metazoa; Arthropoda; Insecta; Hemiptera; Aphididae. The record is from RefSeq and is a predicted model, not a curated record.
UAGAUCAUGAACUAGUGUAUCUAAAUAAAGAAUCAUAUCAAAAAGAUUGUAAAAAUUUUUUAAGUUUAAAUUUAAAUGGUGGAGUCUCACUUGGCAAAACAUAUAAUUAUGUUGGCUUUCAAUUCAAGUUUUCAUUUGAGUCAUCUGAAAAAAUUAAACCGAUGAACGCUUAUGAAUAUGUAAAGCAGAAGGAUAACUGUCGGGCUAUGAAAGGAGAAUUCGACUAUACAACAUACGUAUUAAGAAUAAUAACUAUGAGUGAUUGUAUGCCAUUACCUAAAUCGUUGUGGUGGAAAGAACUAAAAGUAGUGAAAAAAUUAAAGAUUGAUUGAAGUAUUAAAGAUGUUUAGAAGUAUAAGCAAAUACUUGUUAAUGACAGAAUAAAAGAAGAUUCAUAACAUUUAUUUUAUAACCGAAUAACAAGAAAAUAUAUAUCGUGUUAAAAAUUAAAAGUUUAAUCUUGUUAUUAAAAUUAUUCAACAUAUUAUUUAUUUAAAAUUCAUGCUUAUGGAAUUUAAUAAAUAUAAUAAAAUACAAAAUAUUUUAAUA